Molecule: ribosomal RNA, 657 nt
Filed under: uncultured Bacteroidota bacterium
Lineage: Bacteria; Pseudomonadati; Bacteroidota
Description: bacterial SSU rRNA
Rfam family: Bacterial small subunit ribosomal RNA
Source: RNAcentral
AGAUGGGCUUACUGACCAUUAGCUAGUUGGUGAGAUAAGAGCUCACCAAGGCGAAGAUGGUUAGGGGUUUUGAGAGAGAGAUCCCCCACAUUGGAACUGAGAUACGGUCCAGACUCCUACGGGAGGCAGCAGUAGGGAAUAUUGGGCAAUGGGCGGAAGCCUGACCCAGCCAUGCCGCGUGAAGGAAGACGGCCUUAUGGGUUGUAAACUUCUUUACUAUGCGACUAACUAGAUUUACGAGAUAAUUCUAUAGAAUGUAGCAUAGCAAAAAGCACCGGCUAACUCCGUGCCAGCAGCCGCGGUAAUACGGAGGGUGCGAGCGUUAUUCGGAAUUACUGGGUUUAAAGGGUGCGUAGGCGGCUAAGUAAGUUGUCAUUGAAAGGCUACAGCUCAACUGUAGUAGUGGUGGCGAUACUGCUUAGCUAAGAACAUGGGAGGGGUACUUGGAAUGUGUGGUGUAGCGGUGAAAUGCGUAGAUAUCACACAGAACACCAGAGGCGAAGGCGGAGUACUAGACCAUAGUUGACGCUGAGGCACGAAAGCGUGGGGAUCAAACAGGAUUAGAUACCCUGGUAGUCCACGCCCUAAACGAUGAUCACUAGAUAUUGGCGACAAACAGUCAGUGUCCAAGCGAAAGUGAUAAGUGAUCCACCUGGG